GGAAGUGGCACUUCCCCUUGGGAUCAUAGCUGGAAUGCUAUGCGUUACGGCCAAUGCUCAGUAUUUCAUCCACACAGCUUAUCACGGCCGGCCGAAGCACAUCGGGAACGAACGAUAUGUGGGACGUUGCCAUGGAAAGAAGGGAUAAAAAGGCUCUUGGAAAAUCUCUCUUCCUCCGAUUGAUCUCCGUUUGAUUUGGGAUCUUGGCU
Hibiscus syriacus is the source of this 209-nucleotide long non-coding RNA. RefSeq lists it as uncharacterized. The record is from RefSeq and is a predicted model, not a curated record. Lineage: Eukaryota; Viridiplantae; Streptophyta; Magnoliopsida; Malvales; Malvaceae. The transcript has 4 exons.